AUUGAACGCUGGCGGCAUGCCUUACACAUGCAAGUCGAACGGUAACAGGUCUUCGGAUGCUGACGAGUGGCGAACGGGUGAGUAAUACAUCGGAACGUGCCUAGUAGUGGGGGAUAACUACUCGAAAGAGUGGCUAAUACCGCAUGAGAUCUACGGAUGAAAGCAGGGGAUCGCAAGACCUUGUGCUACUAGAGCGGCCGAUGGCAGAUUAGGUAGUUGGUGGGAUAAAAGCUUACCAGGCCGACGAUCUGUAGCUGGUCUGAGAGGACGAUCAACCACAAUGGGACUGAGACACGGCCCAGACUCCUACGGGAGGCAGCAGUGGGGAAUUUUGGACAAUGGGCGCAAGCCUGAUCCAGCAAUGCCGCGUGCAGGAUGAAGGCCUUCGGGUUGUAAACUGCUUUUGUACGGAACGAAAAGCCCUGGGUUAAUACCCUGGGGUCAUGACGGUACCGUAAGAAUAAGCACCGACUAACUACGUGCCAGCAGCCGCAGUUAA
RNAcentral lists this ribosomal RNA (499 nucleotides) under uncultured bacterium. RNAcentral describes it as "partial 16S ribosomal RNA". It matches the Rfam family "Bacterial small subunit ribosomal RNA", at positions 30 to 524 of the family's 1533-position model. The record is from RNAcentral.